UUGUAAUCCUACAAUGUGAUUUGCCUAAGAGCAAAUGAACGAGAGAUAGAACUCAAAGAAUGGGUUCUUUGAGUGACAAGAAAGUAAUCAACAAAUAUGACAACCUAGUUCCUAUACCACAAGCUCCAAGGUAGUCGAGAAGGAUUAAUAAACCGUCUCAGUUGAAUGGUUUGAACUUUAUGACUAUGUCAUAGAGUUGCACCUCUUAAUUCGAAAGAAAUAAGAAUGAAAAUCCUUAUGACUACAUUGAGUGUAUAUAUGAUAUAUACUCAAGGAAAUGGUAAAGUACCAUUUAACCCGAAAUAAUGAAACCUUCAUAGCUAAUUGGUAGCUUAAGGUGACUACAAUCAAAGAGAAUGGUUGACUUUGAAGGAACCAUUUUUGACGUAGUCUUAGUUUCAAUUAAUUCGAAGAUUGCUAGCUACAACUAAAUGGUGAUUUAAUGUUUGGACAUAAUAUAGGUUUCCGAAACCAUUAUUAAGAUAGUCUUGAUAAUAUAUGUCUAAAACUAUGAAU
This 516-nucleotide long non-coding RNA is filed under the name Malus domestica (apple). RNAcentral describes it as "long non-coding RNA (MDOM_LNC008528)". The record is from RNAcentral. Lineage: Eukaryota; Viridiplantae; Streptophyta; Magnoliopsida; Rosales; Rosaceae.